AGUAGCCGCGGUAAUACGUAGGUGGCAAGCGUUGUCCGGAAUUAUUGGGCGUAAAGCGUGCGCAGGCGGUUGUGUAAGACAGGUGUGAAAUCCCCGGGCUUAACCUGGGAACUGCGCUUGUGACUGCACAGCUAGAGUAUGGCAGAGGGGGGUGGAAUUCCACGUGUAGCAGUGAAAUGCGUAGAGAUGUGGAGGAACACCGAUGGCGAAGGCAGCCCCCUGGGCCAAUACUGACGCUCAUGCACGAAAGCGCGGGGAGCAAACAGGAUUAGAUACCCGGGUAGUCCCUGUCUCUUAUACA
RNAcentral lists this ribosomal RNA (301 nucleotides) under uncultured bacterium. RNAcentral describes it as "partial 16S ribosomal RNA". It matches the Rfam family "Bacterial small subunit ribosomal RNA", at positions 510 to 808 of the family's 1533-position model. The record is from RNAcentral.